RNAcentral lists this ribosomal RNA (492 nucleotides) under uncultured bacterium. Its description in RNAcentral is "partial 16S ribosomal RNA". It matches the Rfam family "Bacterial small subunit ribosomal RNA", at positions 29 to 507 of the family's 1533-position model. The record is from RNAcentral.
AGUGAACGCUGGCGGCAGGCCUAACACAUGCAAGUCGAACGGCCACACAGUAAGCUCUUGCUCUUACCGGUGGCGACUGGCGGAUGGGUGACGCGUACAUCAGCUACUACUUUUACGUGGGGGACAACGUAGGGCCACUUACGCUAAUACAUCACAUGUCCAACCGGAGAAAGCUGGGGAUCUUCGUACCUUUCCCGACACAAUGAGCCGAUGUCGCAUUAGCUAGUUGGCUAGGUAACGGCACACCAAGGCAACGAUCCGUAGCUGAUCUGAGAGGAUGAUCGGCCACACUGGAACUGAGACACGGUCCAGACUCCUACGGGAGGCAGCAGUAGGGAAUAUUGGGCAAUGGGCGCAAGCCUGACGCAGCCAUACCGCGUGAGUGAAGAAGGUCUUCGGGUCGUAAAGCCCUUUUGUUAGGGAAGAACAGCAGCAGAUUAAAACGUCGCUGUUCUGACGGUACCCAAAGAAAAAGCACCGGCUAACUACGUG